GUGUCAGCAGCCGCGGUAAUACGUAGGUGGCAAGCGUUGUCCGGAUUUAUUGGGCGUAAAGCGAACGCAGGCGGGAGAACAAGUCAGCUGUGAAAGCCCUCGGCUUAACCGAGGAACGGCAACUGAAACUGUUUUUCUUGAGUGCAGAAGAGGAGAGUGGAACUCCAUGUGUAGCGGUGAAAUGCGUAGAUAUAUGGAAGAACACCAGUGGCGAAGGCGGCUCUCUGGUCUGUAACUGACGCUGAGGUUCGAAAGCAUGGGUAGCGAACAGGAUUAGAUACCCUGGUAGUCCAUGCCGUAAACGAUGAGUGCUAAGUGUUGGGAGGUUUCCGCCUCUCAGUGCUGCAGCUAACGCAUUAAGCACUCCGCCUGGGGAGUACGACCGCAAGGUUAAAACUCAAAUAAAUUGACGG
This 413-nucleotide ribosomal RNA is filed under the name uncultured bacterium. Its description in RNAcentral is "bacterial SSU rRNA". It matches the Rfam family "Bacterial small subunit ribosomal RNA", at positions 505 to 916 of the family's 1533-position model. The record is from RNAcentral.